This is a non-coding RNA of Terfezia claveryi, 91 nucleotides long. NCBI's taxonomy places the organism in Eukaryota, Fungi, Ascomycota, Pezizomycetes, Pezizales, Pezizaceae. The record is from the annotation of a GenBank genome assembly.
GGUACAGUGGUCUAAUGGUAUAAUACCUGCUAUGUAGUAUCCUGCUGGUAUCUGCCAGAGGGUGAUCUGGGUUCAAUUCCCAGCUGAGCUG